UUAAGUGACGAUAGCCUAGGAGAUACACCUGUACCCAUGCCGAACACAGAAGUUAAGCCCUAGAACGCCGGAAGUAGUUGGAGGUUGCCCCCUGUGAGAUAGGGAAGUCGCUUAGC
This 116-nucleotide ribosomal RNA is filed under the name Streptococcus pneumoniae. RNAcentral also lists the same sequence under 1 other name. Lineage: Bacteria; Bacillati; Bacillota; Bacilli; Lactobacillales; Streptococcaceae. The record is from RNAcentral.